RNAcentral lists this long non-coding RNA (325 nucleotides) under Rattus norvegicus (Norway rat). RNAcentral's name for it is "long non-coding RNA NONRATT001906". Lineage: Eukaryota; Metazoa; Chordata; Mammalia; Rodentia; Muridae. The record is from RNAcentral.
ACCAACAUGCAUGACUCUGAAGUUUCCGGAGAGGAAGAAGACUGGAAUCCUGACCAGCCCAUCCAUCCCCUGUGCGGGCGAAGCCUUGAUUUACAACUCUGGCUGGGAAAGCAUCUCAUCCUCUUCCCGGAUCCCCGGGCGCUCCCUCCCUCACCAUCUGAGCGGCAACCGUGCUCCAGAAGAGCCGCUCUACCAUAAAUGCUGCCUACAGGACUACAAAGAAGCUCCUGACCCAAGGAGGUACUUGUCGCAGACUGUUGCCCUUCCAUAUAUGGGAUGCGUCCAUGCGUCCCUGGCCCAUUAAAAUAGGGCAUUAAUAAUUCAA